AGCGAACGCUGGCGGCGUGCCUAACACAUGCAAGUCGAACGUGAAAAGGGGCAACCCUGAGUAAAGUGGCGUACGGGUGAGUAACGCGUAGGUAAUCUACCCCAGAGUCUGGAAUAACCGGCCGAAAGGCUGGCUAAUACUGGAUAGAGCGAAGAACUCGUAAGAGGGUUUUUCGGGAAAGGGAGGGAGUAAUCCCCCUCGCUUUGGGAUGAGCCUGCGUCUCAUUAGCUAGUUGGUAGGGUAACGGCCUACCAAGGCUUGGAUGAGUAGCUGGUCUGAGAGGAUGAUCAGCCACACUGGAACUGAAACACGGUCCAGACUCCUACGGGUGGCAG
RNAcentral lists this ribosomal RNA (335 nucleotides) under uncultured Pseudomonadota bacterium. Its description in RNAcentral is "bacterial SSU rRNA". It matches the Rfam family "Bacterial small subunit ribosomal RNA", at positions 29 to 351 of the family's 1533-position model. Lineage: Bacteria; Pseudomonadati; Pseudomonadota. The record is from RNAcentral.